CUCUUUCAAAGUCUUCGUCUUCUAUCUGCAGUUCUCAAAGAAAUUAAAGUCCCUCUUUUCCCUUUUUCCUUCUAUAUAUGCAUCCAAAUUAAAUUCACUAAGAAAGUAAAUACACCACAAGUACCUCAUCUAAUAAGGUCUUCAUUUUUUCUCUGAUUUUUGUUCUAUAGGAGAAGUUUUUCAACUUACCCACAUAAAUAUUCUUCAAUAAUCUUCCAACUAUCAUGGCAAAUUAUGGAACUACACAAAGAAUACCCACAACAACAACAACAACAACACCUUCACCCACAGGUGAAUCUUAUGAACCAAAAGCACCUAAUGAAAAGAAAAACAGUGACUUCAAAAUCUUCUGCCCCUUCAACACUCCCUCAACACCAGAAGCUUCAGGUAUUCGCAUCAUGAAAAACAUAGAGAAUCUAGGGUUAUAUUACACACUCUUUGUAUGGAUUGUACUCUUCAUAACCCUUAUACCACAACGUAAGGUUUCAUUGAUUCUUUUGGUUAUAAUGACAUAUGUGACAACACUUUACAUUUUAUUACUAAGGGCAUGUCCAAAUAGUGAAGUGCUACAUAAAAUCAUAGAUAAAAGGUUUGCGUUUGGUUUGCUAGCAUUUGCAACAGCACUGCAACUGAUUUUGACUAAAGCUGGGAUUCAUCUUGCAGUGACUUUGGCUUGUACUAUUCCUAUUGUUUUGGUUCAUUCAGUUUUGUGGGUUAGUUUUGAUGCUUUUGAGGUUGAGGAUGGUUCUGUUAGUAGUGGAGACCUGGCUCCACUUGUGGCCUCAAAUGUUGUUUGAUUUCAUUUUUGGGGUGCCACUAGAUUCUUCCCCUCUUCCUUAUGUUUACAUCUCCUAUCAU
This 858-nucleotide long non-coding RNA is filed under the name Lupinus mutabilis. Its description in RNAcentral is "partial ncRNA". The record is from RNAcentral. Lineage: Eukaryota; Viridiplantae; Streptophyta; Magnoliopsida; Fabales; Fabaceae.